This 449-nucleotide ribosomal RNA is filed under the name uncultured bacterium. RNAcentral's name for it is "bacterial SSU rRNA". It matches the Rfam family "Bacterial small subunit ribosomal RNA", at positions 29 to 524 of the family's 1533-position model. The record is from RNAcentral.
AACGAACGCUGGCGGCAUGCCUAACACAUGCAAGUCGAACGAAGCCUUCGGGCUUAGUGGCGCACGGGUGCGUAACGCGUGGGAAUCUGCCCUUGGGUUCGGAAUAACAGUUAGAAAUGACUGCUAAUACCGAAUGAUGUCUUCGGACCAAAGAUUAUCGCCCAAGGAUGAGCCCGCGUCGGAUUAGCUAGUUGGUGAGGUAAAGGCUCACCAAGGCGACGAUCCGUAGCUGGUCUGAGAGGAUGAUCAGCCACACUGGGACUGAGACACGGCCCAGACUCCUACGGGAGGCAGCAGUGGGGAAUAUUGGACAAUGGGCGAAAGCCUGAUCCAGCAAUGCCGCGUGAGUGAUGAAGGCCUUAGGGUUGUAAAGCUCUUUUACCCGGGAUGAUAAUGACAGUACCGGGAGAAUAAGCCCCGGCUAACUCCGUGCCAGCAGCCGCGGUAAU